This 292-nucleotide ribosomal RNA is filed under the name uncultured bacterium. RNAcentral's name for it is "partial 16S ribosomal RNA". It matches the Rfam family "Bacterial small subunit ribosomal RNA", at positions 505 to 796 of the family's 1533-position model. The record is from RNAcentral.
GUGUCAGCCGCCGCGGUAAUACGUAGGGUGCGAGCGUUGCCCGGAUUUAUUGGGCGUAAAGGGCGCGUAGGCGGUCACGCACGUCCGUUGUGAAAUCGCUCGGCUCAACUGGGCGGGGUCAGCGGAUACGGCGUGGCUGGAGCAAGCUAGGGGGCAAUGGAAUUCCCGGUGUAGUGGUGGAAUGCGUAGAUAUCGGGAGGAACACCAGUGGCGAAGGCGGUUGCCUGGAGCUUUGCUGACGCUGAUGCGCGAAAGCGUGGGGAGCGAUCCGGAUUAGAAACCCUCGUAGUCC